RNAcentral lists this ribosomal RNA (443 nucleotides) under uncultured bacterium. Its description in RNAcentral is "partial 16S ribosomal RNA". It matches the Rfam family "Bacterial small subunit ribosomal RNA", at positions 338 to 795 of the family's 1533-position model. The record is from RNAcentral.
CCUACGGGUGGCAGCAGUGGGGAAUAUUGGGCAAUGGGCGCAAGCCUGACCCAGCAACGCCGCGUGAAGGAAGAAGGCUUUCGGGUUGUAAACUUCUUUUCUCAGGGACGAAGCAAGUGACGGUACCUGCUGAAUAAGCCACGGCUAACUACGUGCCAGCAGCCGCGGUAAUCCGUAGGUGGCAAGCGUUCUCCGGAUUUACUGGGUGUAAAGGGCGUGUAGGCGGGGACGCAAGUCAGCUGUGAAAACCACGGGCUCAACCUGUGGCGUGCAUUUGAAACUGUGUUUCUUGAGUACUGGAGAGGCAGACGGAAUUCCGAGUGUAGCGGUGAAAUGCGUAGAUAUUAGGAGGAACACCAGUGGCGAAGGCGGCCUGCUGGACGGCAACUGACGCUGAGGCGCGAAAGCGUGGGGAGCAAACAGGAUUAGAUACCCCAGUAGUC